GGGGAUUUAGCUCAGUGGUAGAGUGUUUGCCUGGCAUACAUGAGGCCCUGGGUUCAAUCCCCA
RNAcentral lists this transfer RNA (63 nucleotides) under Urocitellus parryii (Arctic ground squirrel). RNAcentral describes it as "Spermophilus parryii (Arctic ground squirrel) tRNA". It matches the Rfam family "tRNA", at positions 1 to 62 of the family's 71-position model. From Rfam's summary of the family: Transfer RNA (tRNA) molecules are approximately 80 nucleotides in length. Their secondary structure includes four short double-helical elements and three loops (D, anti-codon, and T loops). RNAcentral also lists the same sequence under 2 other names. The record is from Rfam by way of RNAcentral. Lineage: Eukaryota; Metazoa; Chordata; Mammalia; Rodentia; Sciuridae.